Molecule: ribosomal RNA, 242 nt
Filed under: uncultured Bhargavaea sp.
Lineage: Bacteria; Bacillati; Bacillota; Bacilli; Caryophanales; Caryophanaceae
Description: partial 16S ribosomal RNA
Rfam family: Bacterial small subunit ribosomal RNA
Source: RNAcentral
GUGCCAGCAGCAGCGGUAAUACGUAGGUGGCAAGCGUUGUCCGGAAUUAUUGGGCGUAAAGCGCGCGCAGGCGGUUUCUUAAGUCUGAUGUGAAAGCCCACGGCUCAACCGUGGAGGGUCAUUGGAAACUGGGGAACUUGAGUGCAGAAGAGGAAAGCGGAAUUCCACGUGUAGCGGUGAAAUGCGUAGAGAUGUGGAGGAACACCAGUGGCGAAGGCGGCUUUCUGGUCUGUAACUGACGC